UGAACGCUGGCGGCGUGCCUAAUACAUGCAAGUCGAGCGAACGGACGAGAAGCUUGCUUCUCUGAUGUUAGCGGCGGACGGGUGAGUAACACGUGGAUAACCUACCUAUAAGACUGGGAUAACUUCGGGAAACCGGAGCUAAUACCGGAUAAUAUUUUGAACCGCAUGGUUCAAAAGUGAAAGACGGUCUUGCUGUCACUUAUAGAUGGAUCCGCGCUGCAUUAGCUAGUUGGUAAGGUAACGGCUUACCAAGGCAACGAUGCAUAGCCGACCUGAGAGGGUGAUCGGCCAUACUGGAACUGAGACACGGUCCAGACUCCUACGGGAGGCAGCAGUAGGGAAUCUUCCGCAAUGGGCGAAAGCCUGACGGAGCAACGCCGCGUGAGUGAUGAAGGUCUUCGGAUCGUAAAACUCUGUUAUUAGGGAAGAACAUAUGUGUAAGUAACUGUGCACAUCUUGACGGUACCUAAUCAGAAAGCCACGGCUAACUACGUG
RNAcentral lists this ribosomal RNA (495 nucleotides) under uncultured bacterium. RNAcentral describes it as "partial 16S ribosomal RNA". It matches the Rfam family "Bacterial small subunit ribosomal RNA", at positions 30 to 507 of the family's 1533-position model. The record is from RNAcentral.